RNAcentral lists this ribosomal RNA (465 nucleotides) under Vreelandella stevensii. RNAcentral's name for it is "partial 16S ribosomal RNA". It matches the Rfam family "Bacterial small subunit ribosomal RNA", at positions 338 to 795 of the family's 1533-position model. Lineage: Bacteria; Pseudomonadati; Pseudomonadota; Gammaproteobacteria; Oceanospirillales; Halomonadaceae. The record is from RNAcentral.
CCUACAGGAGGCUGCAGUGGGGAAUAUUGGACAAUGGGGGCAACCCUGAUCCAGCCAUGCCGCGUGUGUGAAGAAGGCCCUCGGGUUGUAAAGCACUUUCAGUGAGGAAGAACGCCUGGUGGUUAAUACCCAUCAGGAAAGACAUCACUCACAGAAGAAGCACCGGCUAACUCCGUGCCAGCAGCCGCGGUAAUACGGAGGGUGCGAGCGUUAAUCGGAAUUACUGGGCGUAAAGCGCGCGUAGGUGGCUUGAUAAGCCGGUUGUGAAAGCCCCGGGCUCAACCUGGGAACGGCAUCCGGAACUGUCAAGCUAGAGUGCAGGAGAGGAAGGUAGAAUUCCCGGUGUAGCGGUGAAAUGCGUAGAGAUCGGGAGGAAUACCAGUGGCGAAGGCGGCCUUCUGGACUGACACUGACACUGAGGUGCGAAAGCGUGGGUAGCAAACAGGAUUAGAUACCCUGGUAGUC